This 717-nucleotide long non-coding RNA is filed under the name Homo sapiens (human). Its description in RNAcentral is "non-protein coding lnc-C1orf216-2:1". The record is from RNAcentral. Lineage: Eukaryota; Metazoa; Chordata; Mammalia; Primates; Hominidae.
GACAGUGUACUUAGAUCUUAGACUAUUGGGCAGUAGAGACUGUAUUCAUGAGUAUAUGUGGCUGGUUUUACUUUAUGUUCUAAGGCUCAGAGUAGUUAAUUCUGGCUUUCUCUAGUUGCCCAGGAUUGUAUACCUAAGUGUUAGAGCCAGUCGCCCUAUGGUUAUUCAGGAAUCAAAGUCUUUGCUCAGAAAUCCUUUUGAAGCCAUCAGACCAGGAAGUGCUCAACAGGUGAAGACAGGCUCACUGCUAAACCAGCCCAAAGCUGUGCUUCAGAAACUGGCUGCUCUCUCUGACCAUAACCCCAGUGCUCCUCGAAAUUCAAGAAACUUUGUCUUUCAUACACUUUCUCCUGUCAAGGCUGAGGCGGCAAAGGAAUCGUCUAAGUCUCAGGUAAAGAAAAGGGGUCCAUCUUUCAUGACUUCUCCUUCACCUAAGCACCUCAAAACAGAUGAUAGCACUUCAGGAUUGACGCGAAGCAUCUUCAAAUAUUUGGAGAGCUAACACCAUCAAAGGUGCCAAAAUCUACAUUGAGACUGCUUUGAGAAGUUUCUAGCACUGAAAGUUGGAAUUGACACUCCAGCCAAUGAUCCUUCCUUCUUUCAUAAUCAAUGCAAUAAGAUUGCAGACAGAAAUUCCAGUGAUUUCUACUGCACAGCUCUGGACAUCUCUUUUCCUAGUAUUAUUCCCUGAAUUGGCCACUGAUUUCAAUUCUGCAG